RNAcentral lists this transfer RNA (69 nucleotides) under Ictidomys tridecemlineatus (thirteen-lined ground squirrel). Its description in RNAcentral is "Spermophilus tridecemlineatus (thirteen-lined ground squirrel) tRNA". It matches the Rfam family "tRNA". Rfam says of the family: Transfer RNA (tRNA) molecules are approximately 80 nucleotides in length. Their secondary structure includes four short double-helical elements and three loops (D, anti-codon, and T loops). Lineage: Eukaryota; Metazoa; Chordata; Mammalia; Rodentia; Sciuridae. The record is from Rfam by way of RNAcentral.
GGGGCUAUAGCUCAGUGGUAGAGUGCUUGCCUAGCAUGUAUGAGGCACUGGGCUUAAUCCUUAGCACCA